This 349-nucleotide RNase P RNA is filed under the name Lachnospiraceae bacterium. Its description in RNAcentral is "RNase P RNA component class A". It matches the Rfam family "Bacterial RNase P class A". From Rfam's summary of the family: Ribonuclease P (RNase P) is a ubiquitous endoribonuclease, found in archaea, bacteria and eukarya as well as chloroplasts and mitochondria. Its best characterised activity is the generation of mature 5'-ends of tRNAs by cleaving the 5'-leader elements of precursor-tRNAs. Cellular RNase Ps are ribonucleoproteins. Lineage: Bacteria; Bacillati; Bacillota; Clostridia; Lachnospirales; Lachnospiraceae. The record is from RNAcentral.
UGAGUCUGACAGGUAAUCGCGGCCUGUCUUAAGGACAGGGUGAGGAAAGUCCGGGCUUCAUAGGGCAGGGUGCCGGUUAACGGCCGGUCAGGGUGACCUGAAGGAAAGUGCAACAGAAAUUAUACAGCCUAUGCCACGGCAUAGGUAAUGGUGAAAUGGCAGUGUAAGAGACUACCGCUUUUCUGGUAACAGAAAAGGUCAAUGUAAACCCCACCCGAAGCAAGACCAAACAGGGGACUAUGUGGCUGCCCGUCACGUUUCCGGGUAGGUUGCUAGAGCGUAGUGGCGACAUUACGAGUAGAUAGAUGAUUACCUAAUACAGAACCCGGCUUAUAGUCAGACUCAUUUU